RNAcentral lists this long non-coding RNA (458 nucleotides) under Panax ginseng (ginseng). RNAcentral describes it as "long non-coding RNA (PGIN_LNC008643)". The record is from RNAcentral. Lineage: Eukaryota; Viridiplantae; Streptophyta; Magnoliopsida; Apiales; Araliaceae.
UAUUUUCUGAAAAGUCUUUUGCCUGUCAUUUGUUGUACAAUUAUGUUUGUAGGUUAUUGUUAUAUGUGUAUAACUUUAUAUAUAUCUAAAAUGGAAAAACAAUUACCUCUAAUAUUCUUGAUAUUCGUUAUAGUAAUUGAUACACAAAUAUCUAAAAUGGGAAAACAAUUACAUCAUUAUGGUACCAUCUCCAUUUAUCCAAGGCAAUAUUGGCCUACAUAAAUUAGAAUCGCCAAGAUGGAGUUCAAAUGUGUCACCCUCCUGAUGCCUUCCCGAAGAGACUCUGGCUUGAUGACAGCUCUCAAUCUCAUCAACAUUUUGUGUAUUACUAGAGGAUUGAACGUCUUCAGGAAGGUUUAGAAUUGUAACUCUGUGCACAUCUUCAGCAUUCAUGCUUAUGUACUUCUGUACAUUUUCCCCACCAUCUUCAUGAUCAUUGGGAUGAAGGGUCAACUGCU